This 224-nucleotide ribosomal RNA is filed under the name Staphylococcus pseudintermedius. RNAcentral describes it as "partial 16S ribosomal RNA". It matches the Rfam family "Bacterial small subunit ribosomal RNA", at positions 1 to 220 of the family's 1533-position model. Lineage: Bacteria; Bacillati; Bacillota; Bacilli; Caryophanales; Staphylococcaceae. The record is from RNAcentral.
UUUAUGGAGAGUUUGAUCCUGGCUCAGGAUGAACGCUGGCGGCGUGCCUAAUACAUGCAAGUCGAGCGAACAGAUAAGGAGCUUGCUCCUUUGACGUUAGCGGCGGACGGGUGAGUAACACGUGGGUAACCUACCUAUAAGACUGGAAUAACUCCGGGAAACCGGGGCUAAUGCCGGAUAACAUGUUGAACCGCAUGGUUCUACAGUGAAAGACGGUCUUGCUG